This 2901-nucleotide ribosomal RNA is filed under the name Escherichia coli. Its description in RNAcentral is "bacterial LSU rRNA". It matches the Rfam family "Bacterial large subunit ribosomal RNA". The record is from RNAcentral. Lineage: Bacteria; Pseudomonadati; Pseudomonadota; Gammaproteobacteria; Enterobacterales; Enterobacteriaceae.
UUAAGCGACUAAGCGUACACGGUGGAUGCCCUGGCAGUCAGAGGCGAUGAAGGACGUGCUAAUCUGCGAUAAGCGUCGGUAAGGUGAUAUGAACCGUUAUAACCGGCGAUUUCCGAAUGGGGAAACCCAGUGUGAUUCGUCACACUAUCAUUAACUGAAUCCAUAGGUUAAUGAGGCGAACCGGGGGAACUGAAACAUCUAAGUACCCCGAGGAAAAGAAAUCAACCGAGAUUCCCCCAGUAGCGGCGAGCGAACGGGGAGCAGCCCAGAGCCUGAAUCAGUGUGUGUGUUAGUGGAAGCGUCUGGAAAGGCGCGCGAUACAGGGUGACAGCCCCGUACACAAAAAUGCACAUGCUGUGAGCUCGAUGAGUAGGGCGGGACACGUGGUAUCCUGUCUGAAUAUGGGGGGACCAUCCUCCAAGGCUAAAUACUCCUGACUGACCGAUAGUGAACCAGUACCGUGAGGGAAAGGCGAAAAGAACCCCGGCGAGGGGAGUGAAAAAGAACCUGAAACCGUGUACGUACAAGCAGUGGGAGCACGCUUAGGCGUGUGACUGCGUACCUUUUGUAUAAUGGGUCAGCGACUUAUAUUCUGUAGCAAGGUUAACCGAAUAGGGGAGCCGAAGGGAAACCGAGUCUUAACUGGGCGUUAAGUUGCAGGGUAUAGACCCGAAACCCGGUGAUCUAGCCAUGGGCAGGUUGAAGGUUGGGUAACACUAACUGGAGGACCGAACCGACUAAUGUUGAAAAAUUAGCGGAUGACUUGUGGCUGGGGGUGAAAGGCCAAUCAAACCGGGAGAUAGCUGGUUCUCCCCGAAAGCUAUUUAGGUAGCGCCUCGUGAAUUCAUCUCCGGGGGUAGAGCACUGUUUCGGCAAGGGGGUCAUCCCGACUUACCAACCCGAUGCAAACUGCGAAUACCGGAGAAUGUUAUCACGGGAGACACACGGCGGGUGCUAACGUCCGUCGUGAAGAGGGAAACAACCCAGACCGCCAGCUAAGGUCCCAAAGUCAUGGUUAAGUGGGAAACGAUGUGGGAAGGCCCAGACAGCCAGGAUGUUGGCUUAGAAGCAGCCAUCAUUUAAAGAAAGCGUAAUAGCUCACUGGUCGAGUCGGCCUGCGCGGAAGAUGUAACGGGGCUAAACCAUGCACCGAAGCUGCGGCAGCGACACUAUGUGUUGUUGGGUAGGGGAGCGUUCUGUAAGCCUGCGAAGGUGUGCUGUGAGGCAUGCUGGAGGUAUCAGAAGUGCGAAUGCUGACAUAAGUAACGAUAAAGCGGGUGAAAAGCCCGCUCGCCGGAAGACCAAGGGUUCCUGUCCAACGUUAAUCGGGGCAGGGUGAGUCGACCCCUAAGGCGAGGCCGAAAGGCGUAGUCGAUGGGAAACAGGUUAAUAUUCCUGUACUUGGUGUUACUGCGAAGGGGGGACGGAGAAGGCUAUGUUGGCCGGGCGACGGUUGUCCCGGUUUAAGCGUGUAGGCUGGUUUUCCAGGCAAAUCCGGAAAAUCAAGGCUGAGGCGUGAUGACGAGGCACUACGGUGCUGAAGCAACAAAUGCCCUGCUUCCAGGAAAAGCCUCUAAGCAUCAGGUAACAUCAAAUCGUACCCCAAACCGACACAGGUGGUCAGGUAGAGAAUACCAAGGCGCUUGAGAGAACUCGGGUGAAGGAACUAGGCAAAAUGGUGCCGUAACUUCGGGAGAAGGCACGCUGAUAUGUAGGUGAAGUCCCUCGCGGAUGGAGCUGAAAUCAGUCGAAGAUACCAGCUGGCUGCAACUGUUUAUUAAAAACACAGCACUGUGCAAACACGAAAGUGGACGUAUACGGUGUGACGCCUGCCCGGUGCCGGAAGGUUAAUUGAUGGGGUCAGCGCAAGCGAAGCUCUUGAUCGAAGCCCCGGUAAACGGCGGCCGUAACUAUAACGGUCCUAAGGUAGCGAAAUUCCUUGUCGGGUAAGUUCCGACCUGCACGAAUGGCGUAAUGAUGGCCAGGCUGUCUCCACCCGAGACUCAGUGAAAUUGAACUCGCUGUGAAGAUGCAGUGUACCCGCGGCAAGACGGAAAGACCCCGUGAACCUUUACUAUAGCUUGACACUGAACAUUGAGCCUUGAUGUGUAGGAUAGGUGGGAGGCUUUGAAGUGUGGACGCCAGUCUGCAUGGAGCCGACCUUGAAAUACCACCCUUUAAUGUUUGAUGUUCUAACGUUGACCCGUAAUCCGGGUUGCGGACAGUGUCUGGUGGGUAGUUUGACUGGGGCGGUCUCCUCCUAAAGAGUAACGGAGGAGCACGAAGGUUGGCUAAUCCUGGUCGGACAUCAGGAGGUUAGUGCAAUGGCAUAAGCCAGCUUGACUGCGAGCGUGACGGCGCGAGCAGGUGCGAAAGCAGGUCAUAGUGAUCCGGUGGUUCUGAAUGGAAGGGCCAUCGCUCAACGGAUAAAAGGUACUCCGGGGAUAACAGGCUGAUACCGCCCAAGAGUUCAUAUCGACGGCGGUGUUUGGCACCUCGAUGUCGGCUCAUCACAUCCUGGGGCUGAAGUAGGUCCCAAGGGUAUGGCUGUUCGCCAUUUAAAGUGGUACGCGAGCUGGGUUUAGAACGUCGUGAGACAGUUCGGUCCCUAUCUGCCGUGGGCGCUGGAGAACUGAGGGGGGCUGCUCCUAGUACGAGAGGACCGGAGUGGACGCAUCACUGGUGUUCGGGUUGUCAUGCCAAUGGCACUGCCCGGUAGCUAAAUGCGGAAGAGAUAAGUGCUGAAAGCAUCUAAGCACGAAACUUGCCCCGAGAUGAGUUCUCCCUGACUCCUUGAGAGUCCUGAAGGAACGUUGAAGACGACGACGUUGAUAGGCCGGGUGUGUAAGCGCAGCGAUGCGUUGAGCUAACCGGUACUAAUGAACCGUGAGGCUUAACCUU